GUUUAAGGCAACAUAGCCUGGUUCACGCCCGAUCUCGUUUGAUCUCGGAAGCUAAGAUAGGUUGGGCCUGGUUAGUACUUGGAUGGGAGACCGCCUAGGAAUACCAGGUGCUGUAAGCC
This 119-nucleotide ribosomal RNA is filed under the name Scophthalmus maximus (turbot). Lineage: Eukaryota; Metazoa; Chordata; Actinopteri; Pleuronectiformes; Scophthalmidae. The record is from RNAcentral.